This 253-nucleotide ribosomal RNA is filed under the name uncultured bacterium. Its description in RNAcentral is "partial 16S ribosomal RNA". It matches the Rfam family "Bacterial small subunit ribosomal RNA", at positions 524 to 776 of the family's 1533-position model. The record is from RNAcentral.
GACGUAGGGGGCGAGCGUUGUCCGGAUUCAUUGGGCGUAAAGAGCACGCAGGCGGUUUGGCAAGUCUGAUGUGAAAACCCGAGGCUCAACUUCGGGCCUGCAGCCGAAACUGCCCGACUAGAGGUAGGUAGGGGAGAUCGGAAUUCCUGGUGUAGCGGUGAAAUGCGCAGAUAUCAGGAGGAACACCGGUGGCGAAGGCGGAUCUCUGGGCCUUACCUGACGCUCAGGUGCGAAAGCUAGGGGAGCGAACAGG